AGGUGUAUAUGGAUGGUGAUAAAGAAUUUGUAAGUUGAUGUCGAUAAAUAAAUAAAUUGUAAGUUAACAGUCUGACACACAAAACAAUUCUGUACAAAUAUAUGAAUGUCAAACUGUUACACACCUAACGGCUAACAGUAUGUCUGAUUUUAAUUCGAACCUCCGCCAUUAACUCUGGCCUCUCACCAUUGGCUUAAAUAUCAUUUCAUCAUGUCUAGAAUACUCAUGUCAUAAA
Molecule: long non-coding RNA, 235 nt
Filed under: Brassica napus (rape)
Lineage: Eukaryota; Viridiplantae; Streptophyta; Magnoliopsida; Brassicales; Brassicaceae
Description: long non-coding RNA (BNAP_LNC021920)
Source: RNAcentral